Long non-coding RNA from Pomacea canaliculata, 1942 nucleotides. RefSeq lists it as uncharacterized. NCBI's taxonomy places the organism in Eukaryota, Metazoa, Mollusca, Gastropoda, Architaenioglossa, Ampullariidae. The transcript is spliced from 4 exons. The record is from RefSeq and is a predicted model, not a curated record.
CAAGUCAUAAGCGUUUGUGCGAAACUACACACCAUACUAUGUUGCGAUGGCGGGUAUGGAAUCCGCAAGGGAUGCUCGUAGACGGAAAAUUUUAGAAAAUCGCGAAAGUCGAAUGAACCGUCUUCUGGGCAAGUCACCAGAUCCCCAACAUAAAAAUGAAGUGCCUGAAGAUAUUACAAAAUGUGAAGGCCUCAUACUCCAGUCAUCCAAACAAGAUGCAAGUUAUGAAUUUGCUGAGGUUUCCACCAUGCAUGAUGUGGACAUAACCACUAAUAGCCAGGCACCAUCAGUUGUUAAAUCAAAGAAUACUUUCCGAUUCUCCUGUGAGCCCUACAUUAAAAGAAGAGAACAAAAACAUUCCAUUAAAGCCAGUCAAUCAAUUCCAGUAUCAUACUACACAGCAUGGUGAGAGUUGGGUACCAGAUGAUGAACAUCAGCCAGUAACUGCAAAACCAGAUCUGCUAGGCAUGCUGGAUGUGAUGAGAGCUGGUGGCUGUGUGAUCGUUGCCUUCUUGACAUGUUGGUCUUUUUCUUUUGGAAUGAAUCUUCUUUUUUUAGAGCUUGCUACACUGCCAUUCAUUUUGCUGGAGGGGUUUCUGUUCUAUUUCCAGACCACACACAUGAAGGAUGUUCGAUUACCUCACAAGUUUUCGGUGAUGUCUAGUGUUCUGAUGCUAUGUGGGAUCCAGCCAAAAGCAAUUGGGUUAUAUGAUAAAAUUAUGGGUUACAUUUGUGCAGUAGCAGAAGAUUUUGCUCUAUUCUUGUUCACAGUUAUUUUUUUCAAUACUUUCAUAGGUGUAGACAGCUGAAGCACAAUAUCUGAAUUGCUAUUUAUUGAGUAGAAAAGAAUAGGUGGUUGAUUUUCUUUUUUAAAAGAAACUUUUUCCAGAUGAACACAGCUUUUUUUUUUUUUUUUACUUGUAAAGCUAUUGAAGAACUGAUGCUAUCAGUUAGAGAAUCUGCAUUUGUUAGAUCAAUUCCAUAUGCUUUCUAAACAAUACUGCUUUCACUUGGAAAGACAGUUUCCCAUUCCCACCAUCUACAGUGCACCCAGCUUGUAUGCACACCCUUAAAACCAAAAUUUAACAAGCCCUGACCCAUACACAAGUAUAGGCACUGUCCUGUGCAAGGUGUAGAAGUUUGGAAAAAUACAUCCUAAUGACAUAAAGUCAUAACUGAUGCCGUUAGCACGUAGCUGUUUGAAGUGUUGUGUGUAAUACAUAACUAGUACUUUAAUUUUAAAACUACAGAAGUCUUUUUAAUUUAAAAAAAUGUGUGCAGCUUCAUUAAAAUGACAUUAUACUGCUGGAAUUAAUAGCUCAUUAACAGUUGUGUGCUUUUAAUCAGGUGGGAACAGAUGAAGGUGAAUUUGAACGAGAUGAAUUUGAAAAUUGUUUUCAUUCAGUAUAUAUGGUUGCCUUUCUCAGGGGUAGCCCACACAAUUUGAUAUUAAGCUUAAGGUUUUUUCUCUUAUGCAUGUAAUAAUAAUAUAAUAAUAAUGUGUACUUGCAACAUGCAGCUUCAUGACCAAGAUAGAUCGCACUCUCUGUGCAGACUAGUAAUGAUGAAUGACUGCAUCAGACCACGAACUUGUAUUACUGGACUGCUGGCAGACGAUUUGUUUCCAGUUAACUACUAAAACGAGGCACGCUUGUACAAAGCUUCUGGUUUAGUCACAUUCAUAGUUUAGGCUUGCCGUGACUAACAGUGGAGAACUUUGCAAGAGGCUAAGUGUUGGUCUUGGCAGACAGCAAUCCACCUAUACACAUCCCUGAUCAGACACUGACAUACGUUAAUGUCUUAUGUUGCUGUUAGAGUGAAUCUCAUAAUUAUGACUAUAACAGCAUUAGUAGGUACCGCCACACAUGCCUUUCUGCUGAAAUUCCAAGUAUUUCAUGGGCUAUCGGGACAGAAAUAUCACAAUAAAGAACAACUUUUCUUC